AUUCCGGUUGAUCCUGCCGGAGGACAUUGCUAUUGGGAUUCGAUUUAGCCAUGCUAGUCGAGCGAGUUCAGACUCGCGGCGCAUAGCUCAGUAACACGUGGCCAAGCUACCCUUCAGUCAGCGAUACCCUCGGGAAACUGAGGCUAAUAGCUGAUACGAAACACCAGCUGGAAUGCGGUGUUUACGAAAGACAUCGCUGAAGGAUGCGGCUGCGGCCGAUUAGGUAGACGGUGGGGUAACGGCCCACCGUGCCAGUAAUCGGUACGGGUGAUGAGAGUCAGAGCCCGGAGACGGAAUCUGAGACAAGAUUCCGGGCCCUAC
RNAcentral lists this ribosomal RNA (321 nucleotides) under Halonotius roseus. RNAcentral describes it as "bacterial SSU rRNA". It matches the Rfam family "Archaeal small subunit ribosomal RNA", at positions 1 to 326 of the family's 1478-position model. Lineage: Archaea; Methanobacteriati; Methanobacteriota; Halobacteria; Halobacteriales; Haloferacaceae. The record is from RNAcentral.